UGGGGAAUAUUGCACAAUGGGCGCAAGCCUGAUGCAGCCAUGCCGCGUGUGUGAAGAAGGCCUUCGGGUUGUAAAGCACUUUCAGCGAGGAGGAAGGUGGUGAACUUAAUACGUUCAUCAAUUGACGUUACUCGCAGAAGAAGCACCGGCUAACUCCGUGCCAGCAGCCGCGGUAAUACGGAGGGUGCAAGCGUUAAUCGGAAUUACUGGGCGUAAAGCGCACGCAGGCGGUUUGUUAAGUCAGAUGUGAAAUCCCCGGGCUCAACCUGGGAACUGCAUUUGAAACUGGCAAGCUAGAGUCUCGUAGAGGGGGGUAGAAUUCCAAGUGUAGCGGUGAAAUGCGUAGAGAUUUGGAGGAAUACCAGUGGCGAAGGCGGCCCCCUGGCACAAUACUGACGCUCAGGUGCGAAAGCGUGGGGAGCAAAACAGGAUUAGAUACCCUGGUAGUCCACGCCGUAAACGAUGUCUACUAGAUGUUCGUGGUCUUGUACCGUGAGUAUCGCAGCUAACGCAUUAAGUAGACCGCCUGGGGAGUACGGUCGCAAGAUUAAAAACUCAAAGGAAUUGACGGGGGUCAUAGCUGUUUCCU
RNAcentral lists this ribosomal RNA (589 nucleotides) under uncultured bacterium. RNAcentral describes it as "partial 16S ribosomal RNA". It matches the Rfam family "Bacterial small subunit ribosomal RNA", at positions 355 to 938 of the family's 1533-position model. The record is from RNAcentral.